AGACUAUGAUGAGGACACUCUAAGAGAAGGUCUUUGAAAUGUUCCAUGCAUCAAGAGAAUAGUUCAUUGGGUCCCUGGAGAAACUUGAGAAUUUCGUUCCUAACUUU
Molecule: small nucleolar RNA, 107 nt
Filed under: Cephalotus follicularis
Lineage: Eukaryota; Viridiplantae; Streptophyta; Magnoliopsida; Oxalidales; Cephalotaceae
Description: Plant small nucleolar RNA R71
Rfam family: Plant small nucleolar RNA R71
About the family: R71 is a member of the C/D box family of snoRNAs containing the C (UGAUGA) and D (CUGA) box motifs. Multiple nearly identical copies of this snoRNA have been identified in Arabidopsis, and it is thought to function as a 2'-O-ribose methylation guide for 18S ribosomal RNA.
Source: Rfam by way of RNAcentral